CCUACGGGUGGCAGCAGUGAGGAAUAUUGGUCAAUGGCCGAGAGCCUGAACCAGCCAAGUCGCGUGCGGGAAGAAUGUCCUAUGGAUUGUAAACCUCUUUUGUCAGGGAGCAAAGUCACCCACGUGUGGGUGUUUGAGAGUACCUUAAGAAAAAGCAUCGGCUAACUCCGUGCCAGCAGCCGCGGUAAUACGGAGGAUGCGAGCGUUAUCCGGAUUUAUUGGGUUUAAAGGGUGCGUAGGCGGGUUAUCAAGUCAGCGGGAAAAUGGUGGGGCUCAACUCCAUCUAGCAGUUGCAACUGAUGAUCUUGAGUGGGCGAGAAGUAUGCGGAAUGCGUGGUGUAGCGGUGAAAUGCAUAGAUAUGACGAAGAACUCCGAUUGCGAAGGCAGCAUACCGGCGCCGGACUGACGCUGAGGCACGAAAGCGUGGGUAUCGAACAGGAUUAGAUACCCGUGUAGUC
RNAcentral lists this ribosomal RNA (459 nucleotides) under uncultured bacterium. Its description in RNAcentral is "partial 16S ribosomal RNA". It matches the Rfam family "Bacterial small subunit ribosomal RNA", at positions 338 to 795 of the family's 1533-position model. The record is from RNAcentral.